RNAcentral lists this ribosomal RNA (424 nucleotides) under Verrucomicrobiota bacterium. RNAcentral's name for it is "Verrucomicrobia bacterium partial 16S ribosomal RNA". It matches the Rfam family "Bacterial small subunit ribosomal RNA", at positions 355 to 776 of the family's 1533-position model. The record is from RNAcentral. Lineage: Bacteria; Pseudomonadati; Verrucomicrobiota.
UGAGGAAUAUUGGUCAAUGGACGCAAGUCUGAACCAGCCCAGUAGCGUGCAGGAUGACGGCCCUAUGGGUUGUAAACUGCUUUUAUAUGGGGAUAAAGUGGGGAACGUGUUCCCUUUUGCAGGUACCAUAUGAAUAAGGACCGGCUAAUUCCGUGCCAGCAGCCGCGGUAAUACGGAAGGUUCGGGCGUUAUCCGGAUUUAUUGGGUUUAAAGGGAGCGUAGGCCGUUUGGUAAGCGUGUUGUGAAAUGUAGGAGCUCAACUUCUAGAUUGCAGCGCGAACUGUCAGACUUGAGUGCGCACAACGUAGGCGGAAUUCAUGGUGUAGCGGUGAAAUGCUUAGAUAUCAUGAAGAACUCCGACUGCGACGGCAGCUUACGGGAGCGCAACUGACGCUGAAGCUCGAAGGUGCGGGUAUCGAACAGG